UAAGCCCACGGCUCGGCAUCGAGCAGAGGGAAAGAGUGAUCCGCUUUGAGAUGGCCUCGCGUCCGAUUAGCUAGUUGGUGAGGUAAAGGCCCCACCAAGGCGACGAUCGGUAGCCGGACUGAGAGGUUGAACGGCCACAUUGGGACUGAGACACGGCCCAAACUCCUACGGGAGGCAGCAGUGGGGGAAUAUUGCACAAUGGGGGAAACCCUGAUGCAGCGACGCCGCGUGAGUGAAGAAGUAUUUCGGUAUGUAAAGCUCUAUCUAGCAGGGAAGAAAGUGACGGUACCUGAAUAAGAAGACCCCGGCCUAACUACGUG
Molecule: ribosomal RNA, 320 nt
Filed under: uncultured bacterium
Lineage: Bacteria
Description: bacterial SSU rRNA
Rfam family: Bacterial small subunit ribosomal RNA
Source: RNAcentral